Molecule: transfer RNA, 71 nt
Filed under: Marmota monax (woodchuck)
Lineage: Eukaryota; Metazoa; Chordata; Mammalia; Rodentia; Sciuridae
Description: tRNA.Val
Source: RNAcentral
GGGGAUGUGGCUCAGUGUUAGAGUGCUUGCCUAACCUGCAAAGUCCUGGGUUCCAUCCCCAGUAUCACACA